AGAGUUUGGUCAUGGCUCAGAUUGAACGCUGGCGGCAGGCCUAACACAUGCAAGUCGAACGGUAACAGGAAGCAGCUUGCUGCUUCGCUGACGAGUGGCGGACGGGUGAGUAAUGUCUGGGAAGCUGCCUGAUGGAGGGGGAUAACUACUGGAAACGGUAGCUAAUACCGCAUAAUGUCGCAAGACCAAAGAGGGGGACCUUCGGGCCUCUUGCCAUCGGAUGUGCCCAGAUGGGAUUAGCUUGUUGGUGGGGUAACGGCUCACCAAGGCGACGAUCCCUAGCUGGUCUGAGAGGAUGACCAGCCACACUGGAACUGAGACACGGUCAGACUCCUACGGGAGGCAGCAGUGGGGAAUAUUGCACAAUGGGCGCAAGCCUGAUGCAGCCAUGCCGCGUGUAUGAAGAAGGCCUUCGGGUUGUAAAGUACUUUCAGCGGGGAGGAAGGGAGUAAAGUUAAUACCUUUGCUCAUUGACGUUACCCGCAGAAGAAGCACCGGCUAACUCCGUGCCAGCAGCCGCGGUAAUACGGAGGGUGCAAGCGUUAAUCGGAAUUACUGGGCGUAAAGCGCACGCAGGCGGUUUGUUAAGUCAGAUGUGAAAUCCCCGGGCUCAACCUGGGAACUGCAUCUGAUACUGGCAAGCUUGAGUCUCGUAGAGGGGGGUAGAAUUCCAGGUGUAGCGGUGAAAUGCGUAGAGAUCUGGAGGAAUACCGGUGGCGAAGGCGGCCCCCUGGACGAAGACUGACGCUCAGGUGCGAAAGCGUGGGGAGCAAACAGGAUUAGAUACCCUGGUAGUCCACGCCGUAAACGAUGUCGACUUGGAGGUUGUGCCCUUGAGGCGUGGCUUCCGGAGCUAACGCGUUAAGUCGACCGCCUGGGGAGUACGGCCGCAAGGUUAAAACUCAAAUGAAUUGACGGGGGCCCGCACAAGCGGUGGAGCAUGUGGUUUAAUUCGAUGCAACGCGAAGAACCUUACCUGGUCUUGACAUCCACGGAAGUUUUCAGAGAUGAGAAUGUGCCUUCGGGAACCGUGAGACAGGUGCUGCAUGGCUGUCGUCAGCUCGUGUUGUGAAAUGUUGGGUUAAGUCCCGCAACGAGCGCAACCAUUAUCCUUUGUUGCCAGCGGUCCGGCCGGGAACUCAAAGGAGACUGCCAGUGAUAAACUGGAGGAAGGUGGGGAUGACGUCAAGUCAUCAUGGCCCUUACGACCAGGGCUACACACGUGCUACAAUGGCGCAUACAAAGAGAAGCGACCUCGCGAGAGCAAGCGGACCUCAUAAAGUGCGUCGUAGUCCGGAUUGGAGUCUGCAACUCGACUCCAUGAAGUCGGAAUCGCUAGUAAUCGUGGAUCAAAAUGCCACGGUGAAUACGUUCCCGGGCCUUGUACACACCGCCCGUCACACCAUGGGAGUGGGUUGCAAAAGAAGUAGGUAGCUUAACCUUCGGGAGGGCGCUUACCACUUUGUGAUUCAUGACUGGGGUGAAGUCGUAACAAGGUG
Molecule: ribosomal RNA, 1499 nt
Filed under: metagenome
Description: bacterial SSU rRNA
Rfam family: Bacterial small subunit ribosomal RNA
Source: RNAcentral